Molecule: ribosomal RNA, 441 nt
Filed under: uncultured bacterium
Lineage: Bacteria
Description: partial 16S ribosomal RNA
Rfam family: Bacterial small subunit ribosomal RNA
Source: RNAcentral
CCUACGGGUGGCUGCAGUGGGGGAUAUUGCACAAUGGGGGGAACCCUGAUGCAGCGACGCCGCGUGGGUGAAGGAGCGUUUCGGCGCGUAAAGCCCUAUCGGCAGGGAAGAAGGAGGACGGUACCUGACUAAGAAGCCCCGGCUAACUACGUGCCAGCAGCCGCGGUAAUACGUAGGGGGCAAGCGUUAUCCGGAUUUACUGGGUGUAAAGGGGGCGCAGACGGCAGCGCAAGCCAGGAGUGAAAGCCCGGGGCCCAACCCCGGUGCUACUACCAAAACUGUUGAACUUGAGUGCAGGAGGGGUGAAUGGAAUUCCCAGUGUAGCGGUGGAAUGCGUAGAUAUUGGGAAGAACACCAGCGGCGAAGGCGAUUCACUGGACUGUAACUGACACUGAGGCACGAAAGCGUGGGGAGCAAACAGGAUUAGAUACCCGGGUAGUC